ACAGCAGCAGCCACGGUAAUACGUAGGGUGCAAGCGUUAAUCGGAAUUACUGGGCGUAAAGCGUGCGCAGGCGGUUGUGUAAGUCUGAUGUGAAAGCCCCGGGCUCAACCUGGGAACUGCAUUGGAGACUGCACGGCUAGAGUGCGUCAGGGGGGGGUAGAAUUCCGCGUGUAGCAGUGAAAUGCGUAGAGAUGCGGAGGAAUACCAAUGGCGAAGGCAGCCCCCUGGGAUGACACUGACGCUCAUGCACGAAAGCGUGGGGAGCAAACAGGAUUAGAUACCCGAGUAGUCCCUGUCUCUUAUAC
This 305-nucleotide ribosomal RNA is filed under the name uncultured bacterium. RNAcentral's name for it is "partial 16S ribosomal RNA". It matches the Rfam family "Bacterial small subunit ribosomal RNA", at positions 505 to 807 of the family's 1533-position model. The record is from RNAcentral.